UGGGGAAUAUUGGGCAAUGGGCGAAAGCCUGACCCAGCCACGCCGCGUGAGUGAUGAAGGCCUUCGGGUCGUAAAGCUCUGUGGGGAGGGACGAACAAGCCUUGGGCUAAUCACCAGGGCUCUGACGGUACCUCCUUAGCAAGCACCGGCUAACCCUGUGCCAGCAGCCGCGGUAAUACAGGGGGUGCAAACGUUGCUCGGAAUUAUUGGGCGUAAAGCGCGCGUAGGCGGCUACUUAAGUCGGAUGUGAAAGCCCCUGGCUCAACUGGGGAAGUGCACCCGAAACUGAGUAGCUAGAGUACGAAAGAGGGUCGCGGAAUUCCCGGUGUAGAGGUGAAAUUCGUAGAUAUCGGGAGGAACACCGGUGGCGAAGGCGGCGACCUGGGUCGAUACUGACGCUGAGGCGCGAAAGCGUGGGGAGCAAACA
This 427-nucleotide ribosomal RNA is filed under the name uncultured Myxococcales bacterium. RNAcentral's name for it is "partial 16S ribosomal RNA". It matches the Rfam family "Bacterial small subunit ribosomal RNA", at positions 355 to 774 of the family's 1533-position model. The record is from RNAcentral. Lineage: Bacteria; Pseudomonadati; Myxococcota; Myxococcia; Myxococcales.